Molecule: RNA transcript, 880 nt
Organism: Halichondria panicea
Lineage: Eukaryota; Metazoa; Porifera; Demospongiae; Suberitida; Halichondriidae
Gene name: serine/arginine-rich splicing factor 3-like
Exons: 8
Source: RefSeq, a predicted model, not a curated record
UGCUUGCCCACGUGAGUUAAAGCUGCCAUUUUGUAUGUAAUUUUUCAGAGGUCAUUUUACUUCACCAUUCCAUCGAAGAACUAGAAACUGUUGUCAGGGCUCUUAAACAAUGUCUAAUAGAGGUGAAAGAACAAGAGUCUAUGUAGGUGAUCUCGGUUCCGGAGGAUCCAAACCAGAACUGGAAAAAGAGUUCGAAAGAUAUGGUCCUCUGAAGAGUGUCUGGGUUGCCAGAAAUCCACCAGGUUUUGCUUUUAUUGAGUUUGAGGAUCCUCGUGAUGCGGAAGAUGCAGUUAAGGAUAUGGAUGGUCGUAGAGUUUGUGGAGUUACUAUCAAGUGUGAAUUAGCCAAAGGCACCAGCAGUGCACAAUUCAGACCUGGAGGCAGUGGUCGUGGUUUUAAAGAAGAGCGCCGAGGCGGUGGACCACCAUCAAUAGUAAGCAGCCGUUAUCGCAGAAGUCCACCUAGAUAUGGUGAUCGUCGUCGAAGCAGGUCUCCAUACGGUCGGUCCAAGAGUCCAAGCCCUAGAAGGUCUCGUUCCCGUUCUCCCCCAAGGAGAGGAGGUCGCAGCCCAGAUUAUCAGUGAGUACAAUUUCUGUUCUUUUAAGCGCAAUAACCAUUUUAUGCAGCCCAGAUUAUCAGCGAGGCGGUCGCAGCCCUAGUCCAUACAGGAAAGGCAAUUCAUCCUUCGAUGAGACGGUCUCCAGGGAGAGAUAGAGAUGGAAAAUACUACUAAGCUGCUUUGUACGAACUCUUUAUUAUGAUUAUAUUAUACAUGUACAUGUACCUUUGAACUCAACCCCUUACGGUAUUGUAACGAGUGCAAUUGUUUUUGUACUUAAAUGUGCCAGUUGUUCAUUACUAACUGAGGUCGAAUCAUCAA